Cinara cedri is the source of this 580-nucleotide non-coding RNA. NCBI's taxonomy places the organism in Eukaryota, Metazoa, Arthropoda, Insecta, Hemiptera, Aphididae. The record is from the annotation of a GenBank genome assembly.
CGUCUAAGCGCGUCGUACCUACGCCGCCGCAGAGCACCGACGGAGAACCGUCGCGACCACAACUACACAACUACUACGCUAUACGCGCUCGCCCGACACACGACACCCGACCGCCGUCGUCCCCCGGUGCAGUGUAACAUUAUCAUCGUAUAAUUAAAUAUUAAUGGUAGUAUACAGUAUCUGAACGCUCGAUAAUAGUAUUGUAUAAACGUAUUUUAAUACUGUAGCACUGCUGCUGUUAAUAAUAAUUAUAAUAUUAUCGUUUUUUUUAUCGCGUUGAUUAGCGCAGGCACCUGUAUUAUAUUCAACAGGCGCGAAAGAGAAGAAAAAAAAAAAAGUGCGAUUUACCCCGCGGUCGAUUAAAGUACUCCGGUAUUGCCUGCAUCAAUAGCAUUACUCCGGAAAUGUACAACAGUUACACAACCGUACAAUAAAUUCAUACUAAUAUCCGGAAAUUCGAUCGAUCGUGCCCUACACGCGCGCACGUGCGCCCGCCGCCGCCGAGACCGCGCUCGAAUUGUGUCCGUCUCGCGAUCUCUUCCCGCGCGUUUUUGCUCCGACCGCGGAUUUCCGUAAUAAC